This 379-nucleotide unclassified non-coding RNA is filed under the name uncultured bacterium. Its description in RNAcentral is "contains 16S-23S intergenic spacer region". The record is from RNAcentral.
UCCAACUUAUCGCUGGCGGUCUCCUGAGAGUGCAUCCUUGCGGAUUAGCAACACAGGACAAGGGUUGCGCUCGUUGCGGGACUUAACCCAACAUCUCACGACACGAGCUGACGACAGCCAUGCAGCACCUCGACUACUGUCCCUUGCGGGAAAGACGAUGUUUCCACCGCCGAUCAGCAGCCGUUCGAGCCCAGGUAAGGUUCUUCGCGUUGCGUCGAAUUAAUCCACAUAAUCCACCGCUUGUGUGGGUCCCCGUCAAUUCCUUUGAGUUUUAACCUUGCGGCCGUACUCCCCAGGCGGUCGACUUCACGCGUUAGCUUCGUUACUGAGAGUGUCAAACCCCCAACAACCAGUCGACAUCGUUUAGGGCGUGGACUAC